UACGGAGGGCGCAAGCGUUGUUCGGAAUCACUGGGCGUAAAGCGCGUGUAGGCGGUUCGGUAAGUCGGAUGUGAAAUCCCCGGGCUCAACCCGGGAACUGCAUCCGAAACUGCCAGGCUAGAGUCCCGGAGAGGAAGGCAGAAUUCCCAAUGUAGGGGUGAAAUCCGUAGAUAUUGGGAGGAAUACCAGUGGCGAAGGCGGCCUUCUGGACGGUGACUGACGCUGAGACGCGAAAGCGUGGGGAGCAAACAGG
RNAcentral lists this ribosomal RNA (253 nucleotides) under uncultured bacterium. Its description in RNAcentral is "partial 16S ribosomal RNA". It matches the Rfam family "Bacterial small subunit ribosomal RNA", at positions 524 to 776 of the family's 1533-position model. The record is from RNAcentral.